CUUCACUCCAUACGUGCAUCAAUGAGUCUUGGUCACCCAUGUCCCUGAUGUCGUUUCACCGGUUGUCUUUCCUUGCACCACUUUUGGUAGGUACUGCAGGCCGGGAACAAGCUGUUUUGGAGAUGCUCUGAUCCAGUCAUUUUAGCCAUCAUCUCCAAUCAAUCUUAUUCACUUAAGUGGUCAGUGGUUUUAUUGUUGUGACUGAUUAUUGUAAGCUGAAUAGGCCAUGUGGGGUGCAACAUUGG
Molecule: non-coding RNA, 245 nt
Organism: Pelobates cultripes (western spadefoot toad)
Lineage: Eukaryota; Metazoa; Chordata; Amphibia; Anura; Pelobatidae
Source: the annotation of a GenBank genome assembly